This is a long non-coding RNA of Culex pipiens pallens (northern house mosquito), 3989 nucleotides long. RefSeq lists it as uncharacterized. The record is from RefSeq and is a predicted model, not a curated record. NCBI's taxonomy places the organism in Eukaryota, Metazoa, Arthropoda, Insecta, Diptera, Culicidae. The transcript has 3 exons.
ACGCCAAUAUCUACACCCGAGCAGGGGUAAAUAACACGGGAAUACCAAAUUUCGGUAUUGCUUGGGCAAAUAACAGGGACCAAAAUGUGCACUUGGUUGCCCAGUAAUAGAUGGUAAAAUACCAUAAAAUCAAAGAGUCUUGAAAAUAGAGCGCGGACUCGGAACAAAUUUCCAUUUAAUCCAUGGUACCAACCAAAGGUACAACCGUAACGCCUUCGAUGCGUUAUGAUUUUUUUGGCGUUAUGGAUACCCGUUACGAAAGUUUUUUUUCAUCACAGCAAACCGCCCAUUUUUUCAAGUUUGACCGUUUGACAGAUUGGAUAAAAAAACAAGAGCAUUGUUUUGCAUUCCAAGCUCCCGUUUUCGUGGGAAUUACCAAAUUAUGCAUUGGGAAGUGAUUUUUGCAUACAAUCAUUGGCAGUGACAAUCAGUAGCAGAAAAAUCGUCAUCGAGGGGCCUGGUCGCCUUGCGUUGCAACACGUCGCGAGACAGAUACGACACGGUGAAAAAGAUCAUCUUUACGGAAAGUCCAAAAGAUACAGCUUGUGCUACCUUUCCAACGCCAUCACUGACGAUUCUUAUCAUUUCCGGUCGAAUUGUCGCCGCAAAUCUGCCGGGCGGCGAGGGUCAUCCGGAUGAACCAAAUUUUUGGAGAAAUAAAUAACACGAUACUCGAUGAUUACGUACUAAUUGAAAUUUUCAAUUUAAUUGUUGACUUUAAAAUACAAAAUAAAACAAUGGAAUCACCAUCAAAAGAGUUUACGUGAUAGUCAAUUUUCUGCUGCUUGAGAUGUAAAAGUUUCUGGAGAUGAAGAAUCCCCGGGAAGCAUCAAUCCGUUGUAUUUACGCGACUAAAUAUUCUAAUAAAUAAAAUUACGAGAACCUGUCGGUUGGAGCACAGGCCGUGUAGAGUCGUGGUGUUUAUGAUCACCUCCGAAUACAUUUCCUUGAUUGGUUCCAAAGGUGGGUGGCUUCAGCUGUAGAGUUCUUCGCUGGGGGAAAGUGUGUACAUACGUUAGAGUUAAGAGGUGUGUGGAACGUAGUUCUAUAAGAGCCCGAAACAACAGAACGAAAGAGGAUUUCUGGGAUUGCCGGUAAGCGGAUGGUCGAAGGAUUGAACUGUCAGCGUCAGCACUACUACAGGCCGUUCUUGAUGAGAUUAAAAAAAAAAGAAUUUUCGCUCCGCUUCGGUUCGGUCUUACUGGACAUCGUGAAUAUUUUCCCUACCUGGGAAACAGGUCCACUCUCGGUUCGCCCGGAUGCUGAGUCAACCGAUCAACAAAGUUCGGAAUACAACAAUUCUCACUGGACGCAGCCGAGAAAAAUAAGCUUUCCUAUAUGGUCAGUUAAAGGCGCGGCAUUCGCCAACCAGGGUAGGUAAACCAUCACCAUCGCACUAUCAUUGAUGCAUAUUUCGGUACGUUCCUCGUCUCUUAAAAUUUCUCUUCUCUUUCGCAGCCGAGUGAUGGUCGGCUUGCUAUCGCGAAUAUCGAAAGCCCAACGAACCGAUGAGAAAUACCGUAUCGCUGGCUCCGAUGGAAGUAUCGUUCCAACCGGAGAGACACGCACACGAAAUUGCUGUAUACAUACACUGGAGCUCACGCACACAAAUGAACUCAUUUCUACAGGGCUUACGGGCGUGAGAAUUUCACGAUUGCUCUUUCUCUUGCUUUUUGAGUGAGGGGACUGGCCGUGUGAGAGAUUUUUUUCCGUCUUACGCAUCGGUUUGUUCGUUGCUCGCUAUUUCAUCGGCGUCGUUUUCGCUUCGCUCUCUUGAUGCAGUUUUGGGAGAGCGCCGAAAAUUUGAUGAUUUGAGCGAGGGACGAUAUUUAAAAGCCCUCGCCAUCGGCGAGGAAACGAGAAAAUACCAUCCCUGUCGCCAACUAAAUAACCGGACUACCUGAGACAGAAACUGGCCGCCACAACGUGCAAAUACUCUCUCUGUGGCGUGUGUCUUACUAUCAACUGUUUAGACAUUUAUUUUUUCCAAACAGAGAAAAUUUUUGACAUUUAGAAAUGUCAUAAAAAACGUAACGCCUAGACUCCACUGAACAUAAAAUGCUCAACCCAUUUUUAUUUUUGCUGGCUGCUGCGAUGUGCAUGUACCGCGUGUACCGCGUUACGGGGUCAAAAAUUAAUUGCCAGUGUACCCCUCUCAUUUCCCUUCUCUCUGAUAAAAUCAUACCAAAGUCUUGUAUGUGGAAGACCACAACAAUACCAAACCAUGAUAUUCCAAGUUUGAAAUUUCCGGUUUUCAAUGAAAGCCUUCGCUUUGAGACAUCAUUUUAGCGCAAAAUUAAUUAUUUUGUCAAAAUUGGUCAAAAUUUUCCCAUAGUUUCAGAAGAAUUUGAUAAAAUACUGAAAUUCCAAAAGAAUACCAAAAUGUGGUGUUCGACCAUUGACAAAUUCUGCAAUUUUGCAAUAUCAAAACAAUACCUUAAAUUGGUAUGAUACCACAUUUUGCUCUUGCAUAAUCCUUAAGACAAUUUUUAAAGGGUCCAGGAAUACCAAAAUUUGGUAUUGAUACCAGAGAAAGGUAUUAUUACGCAUUACCCUUGUUAUUUACCAGGGGCUAGCUGGGCGGCAGCCAUCUUGGUGGUUAGGAUAACUGCUGUCGCACGAGCAUGAAUACAACAACAAAAGAAAAAUCAAAACAAACAACAUUUAAUUUGCCUUCGGUGUGACUGUUACGAAUCUUGUUCUGAGCGAUUUUAACCCGUUUAAAAUCAAAUUUAUCAAAAUGAAGUGCUAUGUGCCGUCUUGCCAAACCGACUUCCACCACCUUCCGGAAGGAAUUUCUAAACAUAAGUUUCCUACCGAUGAGGACCGGCAACUGGAGUGGGUUAGGGCGAUUUCAACAGCCGAAAGCGUCGAUUUGGAUGCGAGCAAGAUCGAUUUCCGCCUGGAAAAUGUUUGCUCAAAACAUUUUGACCAAGCGUUCAUUUAUAAAGUUGGCCAGCGUAAUUUGCUUUCUAAGAAUGCUGUACCGUUUACGCCGUUCCGAUCCGAAAGCUUGUAACCUGCCUGCUGCAGUUUACCAUCGCAACAGUAGAAUUCUGCGAAUAAUAAGAAGAAUGCCCUAAGCCAUCCCGAUCAGGGCAAAAUUUGAUCUUUUGUCUUCUAGAUUUUUUAUAAAACCACUACUAAGUGUAGUGUUUUUAUAAAACCACUACACUUACAACACAAACAAUAAGCCAAGAACCAUCAUCAUCAUCAUCGAUCGCGGCUUCCCAGCAGCCGAUCGAUGCUGAUUGCGCGUUUACUCUCGCGAGCGCGUAAUCUCCAGCGAACUGCACGCACAUUUGGAACACAUGCACAUGAUAUUGGGCAAUUUAAAAAUCGAAGGCCGAUCAUUGAUUGAUUACCCUAGCACGUGAGCACAUUUAGCACAGACCUGUAAUCAUGUCUCAUGUAAAACCACAUUUACAUACCGGAUCAGCAUAAUCCAUGCCAGCACCAAACCAAUUUCCCGAGGGGGAAAUCAAGCCGAGCAGUUUGAGCCACCCUAGCAACGCCCCGGUACUCACUCUCCAAUCUCUUAUCGGCCGACGUCAACCAGAGCCGUGAGAGAUAACACGCGGCGCGAUCGGCCAACCAAUAUAGCCGAUCGUCGCCCGCAGAUCAUCAUCAGUCACUGGUUCAGCAUCAAAGAGACCGCCUCGAUCGUCGACCCGUCAAGUGUUCCGCCAGACGAUUGGCCAGCAGAAGUUUCGCUUAUUGUGUUUUCUUGUGGUGAAAACCGUCUCACCAGUAUAAUUUCGCGGAUUUUGUGGUUUUGAGACAGAUUUGUAAUUUUUGUUGUUUCGCCUAGGAUAAGGAUAUCGGCGUGGAAAAUUAACCGCACUGGAGUGCGAGGUGCCGCGGUACCGAAAAUUGGUCGCGGUGGAGAGUGAGGUGGCGUCUACUAUCAGCAUGGAAAGCAUGGCCAUGCUGGAGUAGUUGGAUAACUUGAGAUCGGUAAGAUUCAGCUGUGAAACCGUCUCUAAAAU